This 250-nucleotide ribosomal RNA is filed under the name uncultured bacterium. RNAcentral describes it as "partial 16S ribosomal RNA". It matches the Rfam family "Bacterial small subunit ribosomal RNA", at positions 779 to 1028 of the family's 1533-position model. The record is from RNAcentral.
UAGAUACCCUGGUAGUCCACGCCGUAAACGAUAAGUGCUAGGUGUUAGGCCCUUUCCGGAGCUUAGUGCCGCAGCUAACGCAUUAAGCACUCCGCCUAAGGAGUACAACCGCAAGGUUGAAACUCAAAGGAAUUGACAAAGGCCCGCACAAGCAGUGGAGCAUGUGGUUUAAUUCGAAGCAACGCGAAGAACCUUACCAGGUCUUAACAUCCCUCUGACCGCUCUAGAGAUAGAGUUUUCCUUCAGGACA